RNAcentral lists this ribosomal RNA (253 nucleotides) under uncultured bacterium. Its description in RNAcentral is "partial 16S ribosomal RNA". It matches the Rfam family "Bacterial small subunit ribosomal RNA", at positions 524 to 776 of the family's 1533-position model. The record is from RNAcentral.
UACGUAGGUGGCAAGCGUUAUCCGGAUUUACUGGGUGUAAAGGGCGUGUAGGCGGGAAAGCAAGUCAGAUGUGAAAACCAUGGGCUCAACCUGUGGCCUGCAUUUGAAACUGUUUUUCUUGAGUACUGGAGAGGCAGACGGAAUUCCUAGUGUAGCGGUGAAAUGCGUAGAUAUUAGGAGGAACACCAGUGGCGAAGGCGGUCUGCUGGACAGCAACUGACGCUGAGGCGCGAAAACGUGGGGAGCAAACAGG